Molecule: long non-coding RNA, 1729 nt
Filed under: Homo sapiens (human)
Lineage: Eukaryota; Metazoa; Chordata; Mammalia; Primates; Hominidae
Description: non-protein coding RGPD4-AS1:4
Source: RNAcentral
ACUCCGCUGGGCUCUUGGCAGCACCCUGUGCUCUGAGGGUGUCUUGCCCGCCGGGCGCCGUGGCUCACGCCUGUAAUCCCAACACUUUGGGAGGCUGAGGCGGGCGGAUCACUUGAGGUCAAGAGUUCAAGACCAGCCUGGCCAACAUGAUUCUACUCUAAAAGUCACCAGGAAAAAUUCAGCUCCACUGGUCCUGGCUCUAAGUCUACUAGCAAAAUCUUCCAGAGAAGUGGAAAAGCCAUCAGCCAAUGUGUUAGACUAUCAUUUCCAUGACCUUACACCUAUCAAAAAGGCACUAUUACCAGGCUUAUAGAAUUCUAAAAAAGUUGGAAACCAUUUUCCAUUAUAAAAGAAAUUCUUCCAAAUCACACAAAACACUCUGACACUUCUCCAAUUCCCCCUAUCAUGGGGCUGGCAGCAGCCGCUUUGCGUCCUGAAUGUCAUGACAGUGAUGAUAACAGUAAUGAUGAUAACAGCAAUGAUGAAGUCUCACAUUUAAAAUUUUCAAGUCACUCAUCACAUCCCAAGUCACUCCCUUCAUUACCUUUUAUUUAUACUGGAGUCAUCCUGUGUGCCUCAGUCAGACCAUUUUGUAUGUACAAUGACCGACAAUGAGAUUUAACAUGCAGUUUGCAGAUCCUCCCUUCUCUGGGUCACCUGAAAAUAAGCCACAAACAAAGGAAUGAAAUUGUUGAUGAAAAGGGAAGAGGCAAGACUCCAUAUGAAGAAUACAACUGACUCACCUGUCUGUACAUGCCUCUGUGUGUGUGUUUUAUAUUGGUGCUGGUGAAGAUAGUUCUUUAUGCUGAUGCUUAAUAAGGUGAAAUGUGUCUAUUUUCUUCCAUUGGCCCAGGCACAGAUGCGAUUAUAAUUGCUAAGAUUAUUUGCAUAUUGGCUUUUAAUGAUGCAUUUAAAAAUAUUCAUCCCAUUUACUGACUUAUGCAGGCAAUGUACUUUUGUAAAUGUGGGCCAGCAUCAUGCUUAAAUUCCCAAACCACUAUUUAUUUAAAACUCAUCACUUCAGUUUUUAUACCCUUUCUCCCCCAUAAGGGAAAAAAUAUGAUUCUGACUGUAUAAGCACCAACUAAACAGAACACAAAACAUGGCAGACGAUAAAAACAUAUUUUCACAAAUGAGACAUGUCAUUUUACCAUCGAGGAGAGAAACAAAAUAAGCUGGUUUUCAAGUUCCAUAUCUUGUGUGCUCCUUUCAGCUAAAUGCCCUUACAUCUGUAAGCCCUUGGGACAGGUUAAGGCUUUUAUUAUUAUUUUAAAGUCUUCAUAACUACAACCUAGCAUCCAAAGUGAAACAGAUGCUAUUGGAUAUGAGUAGCAUAUGCAAUGGAAAUAUUGACAUUGCCUUCCCGACAGUCAUGAGGGAUAGACCAUAGGCUUUUUGGUAACCUAUAUUUUCUAGGCCCAAAGCAGGGAAUGAGAUGGCAGGGAAAUUCAGGGUAAACUCCAAAUUUACAUAAAGUUAUAGAAGAAUAUAGAUCAUGAGUAGUGGCUAGCACCUUCCUGACUUCCAGAAAAUGGUGGUGCCGAUAUUGAACAACAGUUUGGAGAAAAUGUAAAAUGUUUACAUUUACAUUUACAGUUUAGUCUUUGAACAACAGUUUGGAGAAAAUGUAAAAUGAAAAUUUGUUAACGAACUUGUUUUUAAAAAGCACCUAGACUCCAUAUAAGAGUACUUGUCCUAUGUUAUUUUCAUAAACUACAUUUGUGAUUGU